Molecule: ribosomal RNA, 102 nt
Filed under: Kikihia sp. 'westlandica south'
Lineage: Eukaryota; Metazoa; Arthropoda; Insecta; Hemiptera; Cicadidae
Description: partial 16S ribosomal RNA
Source: RNAcentral
UUACAUGAUCUGAGUUCAGACCGGCGUGAGCCAGGUUGAUUCCUAUCUACUCAAUUAUUUUUAAUGUUAGUACGAAAGGACCUCAUUAAAUAAUUUUAUUAU